Molecule: non-coding RNA, 201 nt
Organism: Oryza glumipatula
Lineage: Eukaryota; Viridiplantae; Streptophyta; Magnoliopsida; Poales; Poaceae
Source: Rfam
AAAUAGUCAAACCAUGGGUUCCCGUGUCGAAUUUUAACUGUUCGUCUUAUAUAAAAAUUUUUUAUAAUUCGUAUUUUCAUUGUUGUGAGAUGAUAAAACAUGAUUAAUAUUUUAUGCGUGACUUGUCUUUUUUUUUCAUAAUUUUUUUAAAUAAGACGGACGGUCAAACGUUGGGCACGGAAACCAGAGUUUGUCUUUUUU